This 301-nucleotide ribosomal RNA is filed under the name uncultured bacterium. Its description in RNAcentral is "partial 16S ribosomal RNA". It matches the Rfam family "Bacterial small subunit ribosomal RNA", at positions 509 to 807 of the family's 1533-position model. The record is from RNAcentral.
CAGCAGCCGCGGGAAUACAGAUGGUGCGAGCGUUAAUCGGAUUUACUGGGCGUAAAGCGUGCGUAGGCGGCUUUUUAAGUCGGAUGUGAAAUCCCUGAGCUUAACUUAGGAAUUGCAUUCGAUACUGGGAAGCUAGAGUAUGGGAGAGGAUGGUAGAAUUCCAGGUGUAGCGGUGAAAUGCGUAGAGAUCUGGAGGAAUACCGAUGGCGAAGGCAGCCAUCUGGCCUAAUACUGACGCUGAGGUACGAAAGCAUGGGGAGCAAACAGGAUUAGAUACCCCCGUAGUCCCUGUCUCUUAUAC